UUGGCCGGACAAAACAAGGCAGACUCUUCUCUCUUUCAUGUUACUUGAUUUCCCCCAAUUCAAACAAUUCCUAAUUUCUAUCGAUCUGUAACCGACGAUCAUGUUACCUAUUCUACCAUUCUCAUCUAACUCAUUAUUCAUAAAAUAAUAAUUUCUAAAUUACAAUUCAAUUUUUUGAAUUUCAGAAAUUCACCUAUCUUCUUUCUCCCACUUGCGAAUCUUAGAUCCACUUUUCUCUUUUCAUGAACUCCUCUGUAAUCCUAAACUUGUGAACGCUUCCAUAUCUUCUUCAUCAAUUGUCGAAGAACACCAGAGAAUCCAGAGACCCUACCGCUUGUUUGAUUCUGCAACCUCCUCCCCACCUGUUCGGUUUUCAUCAUAUUUCUCCAAAAAAUUUUAGAUCUGCUUUCUCCAAUUCUUCUUUAACCGGCUUUCAUCAUAUUUCUCCAAUUUCCUUUUUAGAUCUGCUGUCUCCAAUUCUCUCUAACCCUAAUUUCACAAAACCCUCUCCGCCUUCUUCCUCAUUUGUCGAAGAACAUGUGAAGAUUGCAGAGGACAAAACGCCACCACAAAACGAAAUUGGAGGUACAUCUCAAGCGGACAUUCAUCUUCCUACAAGAUUACUCUUCCUCCAAGAUUACUCAACUGACAGAUUUCCCUAAAAGCUUCUCAACAAAUACUCCGCACCGGAUCUUCUCCCGUGUUCAUUCGCAAUCUCCCAUGUUCUCAACCCUAUCAUCCACACACCUACUGUCCACAAUUCCAGUGACCACAACACAUCCAGUGUCCACACAUCUCCUGACCACAGCAGCCCCAUUGGUCAUGGCCACAAUUCCAGUGACCACAACACAUCCAUUGUCUGUUUUUUUUCUAAACAGGAAAGAAAGAAAUAUGUUAGUGUCUACAUAAGCUCAUGUCCACAUUUGUUCACUUACAUGAAUUCGUGCUACAAUUGUUUCAUCCACAUCUUUUGUGUACACAUAUAUCUCAUCCACAUAUUCCAUU
Molecule: long non-coding RNA, 1005 nt
Organism: Raphanus sativus (radish)
Lineage: Eukaryota; Viridiplantae; Streptophyta; Magnoliopsida; Brassicales; Brassicaceae
Exons: 2
Source: RefSeq, a predicted model, not a curated record